GCCUGGCUGGCUCAGUCAGUAAAGCAAGUGAUUCUUGAUCCCAGAGUCAUGAGUUUGAGCCCCAUGUUGGGCA
Molecule: transfer RNA, 73 nt
Filed under: Ailuropoda melanoleuca (giant panda)
Lineage: Eukaryota; Metazoa; Chordata; Mammalia; Carnivora; Ursidae
Rfam family: tRNA
About the family: Transfer RNA (tRNA) molecules are approximately 80 nucleotides in length.
Source: Rfam by way of RNAcentral